UCUCUCCCCCCUCCCAUUCGCCAGCCCUCCCUUUCCGCCUUCCUCUGCCCCUCCCCCCGCCUGCCUGCCCCGCCCCUCCCUCCCCUCCCCGCUCUCCUCUACUUUGCAGCCUCUGCCCUGCGCCCCCCAGCCCCACGUGAGGGGUGCAGGAUGGGAGGACCACCGCCUCCCCGCCUGGCCGUGGAAAAGCUUUGACGCAGGUGUGCACCCGUUUCUCGGCCCUGCAGAUCCCCCGACGUGGGGAAAAUCCAUCCAUCACGCAUGCGUGCACACACACGUGCACACAUCACGCGCGCAGAAGGUAACACAGACCAGAAGCAAGCCCUCCGCCCUCUGUCUUGGUUUUGGUUUCCCCAGAAGCAGACCCCGAGUUAUAAGUGUCCUCGGGAGAUUCCAUAAACUCCUUGACCACACGUUCUGAAGCCAGACAAUUCACCAUCUGGCCAACGCGGAUUGCUGCCUACGCUGUGCCAGGCAGUGUCCUCGGCACUGGGCCACAGGGAACCAGGUGCCUUGUCCCCAAGAGCUUCACGUUCUGCCGGGGAAGAUGUCGAUAGGUGAGUAACUACGUAAAGCAGCACUAUGGUCCCGAAGAAGAAAGGAGAAUAAUAGGAGAAUAAAGCAGCUCAGAGUGGUCACAGAGGUGUCACUGGGUUAAGUGAGUUGGUCUGAGCGGUUAGACAUCGUGCUGGAGGAGGAAACCCAGCUCGAGAGGGGAGGGGCGGUCCAGGCUGACGCAGGCAGGAGGGCAACCUGCCUCUGAUAGAGUACAGAGGGGGUUGCUCUGACCGGUGCAGAGGUCAGGGGACGGUUGUCAGAGAGGAGGCCACAGGAGCCAGCAGGACCCACUGUGGAGGGCCACAUCACCCCCAGUCAGGAAUUCGAGUUUCGGCCCCAGUGUAAGGGGAGAAUUUUUGACUUGGGAAGUUUAGAACACCCCUCCGGACACAGUAUCAGGAAUUCCCCAGCAAGGGACAAGAGGAGACGGUGGGGCACCAUGGAGGAGACUACAGGAGUCGACAGGCAGGUGGCCCGGCCCAGGUGGUCACAGCAGGGACGAGAGACACAGGAGGCUGACAGUUGGGGCUUCCCAGUGUCUGGUUGGCAUCCUUUUGGCCCCGUCUCGUUCCCUCUCUUGUUCACUUAAUGCCCUUUUCGACAACCCACCGCCAACUUGAAGACCAGCUUGAAGCCCCUUCCUCUCCAUUGUCCCCUCCACAGACCGAGUCCCAUGUGAGUCAUCACCUGCACCUGUCACAGCGUCUCUCAGCUGGGCUCCAAGAGGCUUAAAACUGCAGGUGCAUUUAAAUGCCUCACGCUUUCCCAGGCUUUGUUAACCACUGUUUUUCUGCCCAAACAUGAAACGGGGUUAUAAAAAGUGUUCACCUGACAUUGCCUGUGUGGAGCCAAUGUCAGAACACCCCUGAAGCUGCUCUCCAAAGAGAAACCUUUCCAGAAGGCCCAGCUCAGUGACUGGCAUUAAGGGGGUGUGUUAGUUUUCUACUGCUGUGUAACACAUUACCACACUUAGCAGCUAAGGACAACACAAGUUUAUUAUCUCACCAUUUAUGUGAGUAGGAAUAUGGGUCUGGCUCAGCUGGGUUCUCUUUUCCAGGGUCUCUUGCAGGCUGUACGCAAGUUGUUGACUGGGGCAGGGGCCUCAUCUGAAGGCUCGGCUGGGGAAGGGUCUGAUGCCCCGCCCCACCACCAAGCUCACAUAGUUGUUGUCAGGAAACGGUCCCCCCAGGCCUUAGACUGAGGGUCUCAGUUCCUAGCUGGCUGUAGACCAGAGGCCACCCUCUCUGACACAUGAGUCUCUCCAACAUGACAACCUGCUUCACCAAAGCCAGGAAAGAGUCCACUGGUGAGACAAGAGCCACAGAACCAUGAAAGAGAGAUCCCAUUGGAUUUGCCAUAUUUUAUUGCUUAGAAUUGAGUCAUAGGUACACACACACACACACACACACACACACUCAGGGGGAAGGUAUCAUCAUACAAGAGCAUGAAUGCCAGGAGACAGGGAUCACUGGGACUUAUCUUAGAGGCCGUCCCCCAUGAUCCACUGUGGUAGGCACCUUCUAAGACGACGCCCCAAAUUCCCAUCUUCUGGGAUUCACCACCUUGUAUAAUCUUCCCUUUAGUAACUUGCUUUUAACCAGUGGACUACCUCAACACUGAUGGCAUGCAGAUUCAUGAUUAGGUAAUAUAAGAUAGUGCCUCCCAUCUUGCUGGAAGACUUGCUCUUUGCUAGAUUUGAUGAAGCACAUUGCCUUGUUGGGGGGAACCCAUGUGGCAGGGAUCUGAGGACACCCUUCAGCCAAUAGCCAGCGAGGAACUGAGGCCCUCAGCAAAGCAGCCCAAAGGAAUCAAAUCAUGUCAAUAACCAUGUGAGUGAGCUUGGGAGUGGAUCAUUCCCCUGUUGAGCCUUCAGAUGAGACCCCAUGCCAGCUGACCCCUUGAUUGUAGCCUGCAAGAGACCUUGAGCAGAGGACCCAGAAAAGCUGGGCCCCGAUUUCCGACCCACAGAAACUGUGGAAUAAUGAAUAUUGUUUAAGCUGCUAAGUUUAUGAUAAUCUGUUACUCAGCAAAAGAUAACUAAUAUACUGGGUACUCAGUAAGUCAUCCCUGAAUAACUGAAGGAAUGAAAUAAUUAAGCAGGAAACACUGCCUGAGUUUGGCGAGGUGUGGCCCGAAACGCUCGGGGCGAUUUUCCUUCUCGCCCUGGGGUGACCAAGCGGGACCCAGUAUUUGAGAUCAACCCCGCGCCUACACACCUGCCGUGGCCGGGGCGGCCAGUGAAUCCGAAAACAGACCCAACCCUGCCGUCCCAGCAGUCACUGGCCAGAGCGCGGUCUCUCCGGAACCCUCUCUCCUCGCACACGGCUCACCUGGGCUGAGCAGCCGGCAGGGCUGGGACCGCCCGACCCGCUCUCCUUUGCGUGGGAGCAGCUUAGGUAACAGCGCGCUUGGAGCUCACACGGGGCUGACGGCCCGGCCUCCGAGACACCCCGAGGCCUCCUUGGCUGCUUGGUAAUCAGACCAGGAACCUGUGAGGAGGCGUGGCCCUCAUUUCACUUAAUUGAAAAUCCUCCCCAUCAAAGAGAACAUCCGUGCUCCGUGGCCCUUUCUUCCCUCGCCAGUGACCAUUAACCUUUAAAAAGAUGCGUUAUGAGCCAUUUGCCAGCCUCGUUCUCCAGGCCAGGGUGUAAUGAGGCCCAUAAACGGGCCAGACUCGGGAGGGAGCGAACGUGAGAAGCGCCACAAAUGAGAGACCCGCGCAGAGCGGGCCCCGGGCCGCCCAGCCACGCAGGUGCCCAAACUGGACACGUCAGCAGCCACGGGACUGUGGGACGGCCGAGGCCGGGUCGUGUUCAAGAAGCGAGUUCAACCGAGCCAGCAGUGGAAUGAGUGCCCGACCCAGCCCCCGGCUCACUGCUGCCUCCUCGGCCCCUACCCCUCUCUCCCUCCUCUCUGGCUCCACCGCCCUCCUGGCUGUGCCUGGAAAUGCCGGGUGCAUGCCUACCCCAGGGCCUUUGCGCGGCCAUUACCUCUGCUGGGAAAGCUCCUCCCCCAGAGAGUCUCAUGGCCGCUCCCUCGCCUGUCACUUUCUCAGGGAAAUCUCCCGGACCCCACUUGUAGAAUAACAUCCCCCACCACAUCCCGCACACUCCCUGGCUCCCUCCCCUGCUUUAUUCGUCACCAAAGCAUUGGCCAGACCUGCCAGACCACUCCCCUUACCGACUUCCAUUCAUGGCAGCGUUCCUCUUUCUACAUCAGGACGCUCAGCCCACAAGGGCAGGGAGCUCUGUGCGUCUGUUUUUCCACUGCUCUGUUCCCAGCACCCGGAACAGCGUCAGACACGUCGUCGACACUUCCUAAGUCUUUGUGGAAUGCGCGAGUGAGUGAGUGAACGCACGCACCCGUGAAUCGAAUUCCACUGACGGACAAACCUUCGGGCCUUGGAAGAACGUGUUUGAAAACAAACAGGGUGGAUUCUAGAAGCUGCGCCCCUGCAUCUGCUGAAGGGAAGGGUCAAGAAACACCAAUCAUCCGGCGGAACCCUCGUGCCGAGCUGCCACCAAUCUGGCUGCCACAGGGCCGCCCUCGCGAAGGCGCAGAGACAGGAGCCGGGAAAGAGGGACGUCCGAGAGUUUGCUGCUCCCCAGAAGCGACACAGAGUUUCCGGGGGCCCCUUGCUGGUCGUGCUCCCUCUGCCGGAGUCCUCUCCCCACAGGCCCUGCCCGGGCAGCUCCCCCCUCUCCUGGGUCUCCGUUCCAGGGCCCCCUCCUCCGGGAAGCCCGGACCUCAGGUGACAGCCCCCUGUCGUGCCCGCGGCUUACUCCCCUCAGGUCGCUCUCGGAUAGUCUCUGUUUCCCUGCCUCUUCUCCGGCCCCCGGGGGGGACAGGAGCUCCUUGCCGGUCUCGGUCUCAGUCUCGUCCACCCCCGGCCCCUCCGCCAGGAUCCGACACAGUAGGUGCUCAGUCAGCAUCGAUCAGGGGACAAACAGCUGUACGUCCGCGCUGGGGGCUUGUAAAGUCACACCGGACAUUUCCGGUGCCGGAAGGGCCUACAAGUGCCACUUGCUGUCGUCUCGGGGGGCUGGGGUCGCCUGAUGUGAAACAGUUAUGAAAAGGGUGGCCCAAUUAGUUUUUCCAAAGCCCCUCAGGCUUUUCUAGACUUCGACAAAAAUGUCGUGCUUCUUUGUUUUGAAUCUGUGUUCGUUGAAUCACUCAGUAAGGAUGGAAUAUAGCAAUUAUUUGCCUGUUCUUUUCUUUUCUCCCCUUAGCAGGCAACAUGACUUUUUUUAAAGCUGGUUCAGCGUGUGAGCCCCCCUCCUCCCCCUCCGGAGGACCAUGGCGGAGCAUUCCAGGCAUUAAUGGCCACCCAGGAGUCUGGAGUCCAGGGACCUGUGACCCUAGUCCGCCGUCUGCUCCUGCUACGUGCCCAGGUCACAGCACAGCCAGUGGGGCCUCGGUGCUGCCUGCCACCCUCUGACGUGAGGAGUGUGAGGAGGUGACCCCGAGGUUCCCACCCGCUUUGACCUGUACUCAUGCAGGUCCCAGACAGGGUCGGGGAAGGGGCAUCACACCGGGGACAGGUCCCGGGAUGGACACUGGCCCUGUGGCCCUGCUGCCUUCCGUGGGUGAGGCCCCAUCAGUUCUCCCUGGAAGGUUUAGUUCACCCCGAGCCCCACCCAUCUGCCCCGACAGCAAGCCUCCCAUCGCUCCUCCUGCCCACACCCCAAGGCUGACCUGCCCCCACAUCCUUGUGGUCACUUCCUCUGGUCCUCACCUCAGAACCCAACGUGGAUUCUGCCUCCUGUAACCCCAGCACCCAGACGGUGCAACCACUACGUUUUACCCAGGACAGGCUUUCAGAGUCUGCAGUCCCAGGAGGGUCUUUCCUGGCACGUGGAGGGAUGAUGGAGCAUCUCCAAGGAACCGCGGGACCUCGAAGCCCCGGGGAGCACGGAGAGCUGCAGGAGGGAGCCUCCGGUGGGAGCCACCAUGGAGCCCUGCGGGGACCCGUGGACAGGCCGGGCAGGGGCGUCGGGAAGGCCUCGGCAUGCAGGGCUAUGGCUAAUGCUCCCCCUCCUGAAACUGCCCCCCACCCCGGCAAGCCCCUACUCCCCCACUCACGCCCUGCGCCCCCCUGCUUUGAGCUGAGGGCUGGCCGGGCUGGCCUCACUGGUCUCUACCCGGAGCGGCCAGGACGGCGGGAGGGAAGGGACCCGUGCCCGUGCACAGAGACUGUGUGAGCAGGGUCAGGCGCUGAAGUCCCCUGGGGCUAACAACUGCUCCAGGAAUAACGUCCCCGUUAGCAUUCAAUUAAACCCUUCUCAGAU
Molecule: long non-coding RNA, 5846 nt
Organism: Felis catus (domestic cat)
Lineage: Eukaryota; Metazoa; Chordata; Mammalia; Carnivora; Felidae
Exons: 2
Source: RefSeq, a predicted model, not a curated record